Molecule: long non-coding RNA, 399 nt
Filed under: Ananas comosus (pineapple)
Lineage: Eukaryota; Viridiplantae; Streptophyta; Magnoliopsida; Poales; Bromeliaceae
Description: long non-coding RNA (ACOM_LNC022308)
Source: RNAcentral
AUAUAUCUUAAGUUUUCAGUUUCGACCCCGUUUGGUCACCGAAAGUUGUACCGAACUGUAAUCUUUAUCAGAUAACUGUCGGAUUUUAUUUCUCACUCUACGGGUGUCACUGACAUAUCCUCCCGUUUCUCACAGAAAAUUCUAAAUCUUCUGUUUUCGCUCCGAUUUCAGCACAGGUCGUUUCUAACUCAUAUUUCACUUCUCUAAAUCCAAUAAAAAUAGUAUCUCAUACUAUUUUUAUUUAUUUUUAUUUUUUAUAUUAAAAUCCGGUAUAUUACAUUCCACCGCAACUUCAUAACUACAGAAGUUCGGCACCUUACAUUCUCCCCUCCUUAAAAGAGUUUCGUCCCCGCAACUAACUCAUUUCAACUCAAUUCACACUCCAACUCAAUUUAUCGG